Molecule: ribosomal RNA, 117 nt
Filed under: Streptomyces sp. AJS327
Lineage: Bacteria; Bacillati; Actinomycetota; Actinomycetes; Kitasatosporales; Streptomycetaceae
Source: RNAcentral
UUCGGUGGUUAUAGCGGUGGGGGAACGCCCGGUUACAUUCCGAACCCGGAAGCUAAGCCUGCCAGCGCCGAUGGUACUGCGAGGGGGACCUCGUGGGAGAGUAGGUCACCGCCGAAC